GAUGAAGAACGUAGCGAAAUGCGAUACGUAAUGUGAAUUGCAAAUUCAGUGAAUCAUCGAGUCUUUGAACGCACAUUGCGCCCCCUGGUAUUCCGGGGGGCAUGCCUGUCCGAGCGUCAUUGCUGCCCUCAAGCACGGCUUGUGUGUUGGGCCCCGUCCUCCGAUCCCGGGGGACGGGCCCGAAAGGCAGCGGCGGCACCGCGUCCGGUCCUCGAGCGUAUGGGGCUUUGUCACCCGCUCUGUAGGCCCGGCCGGCGCUUGCCGAUCAACCCAAAUUUUUAUCCAGGUUGACCUCGGAUCAGGUAGGGAUACCCGCUGUACUUAAGCAUAUCAAUAAGCGGAGGA
Molecule: unclassified non-coding RNA, 345 nt
Filed under: soil metagenome
Description: partial contains 5.8S ribosomal RNA, internal transcribed spacer 2, and large subunit ribosomal RNA
Rfam family: 5.8S ribosomal RNA (bases 1-119)
Source: RNAcentral